GCCCCUAUCGUCUAGCGGCCCAGGACACCGGCUUCUCAGGCCGGGAACAGGGGUUCAAAUCCCCUUAGGGGUA
This 73-nucleotide transfer RNA is filed under the name Candidatus Gottesmanbacteria bacterium RIFCSPLOWO2_02_FULL_40_10. RNAcentral's name for it is "tRNA-Glu". It matches the Rfam family "tRNA". From Rfam's summary of the family: Transfer RNA (tRNA) molecules are approximately 80 nucleotides in length. Their secondary structure includes four short double-helical elements and three loops (D, anti-codon, and T loops). Lineage: Bacteria; Candidatus Gottesmaniibacteriota. The record is from RNAcentral.